RNAcentral lists this ribosomal RNA (497 nucleotides) under uncultured bacterium. Its description in RNAcentral is "partial 16S ribosomal RNA". It matches the Rfam family "Bacterial small subunit ribosomal RNA", at positions 28 to 507 of the family's 1533-position model. The record is from RNAcentral.
GAUGAACGCUGGCGGCGUGCCUAAUACAUGCAAGUCGAGCGAACGGACGAGAAGCUUGCUUCUCUGAUGUUAGCGGCGGACGGGUGAGUAACACGUGGAUAACCUACCUAUAAGACUGGGAUAACUUCGGGAAACCGGAGCUAAUACCGGAUAAUAUUUUGAACCGCAUGGUUCAAAAGUGAAAGACGGUCUUGCUGUCACUUAUAGAUGGAUCCGCGCUGCAUUAGCUAGUUGGUAAGGUAACGGCUUACCAAGGCAACGAUGCAUAGCCGACCUGAGAGGGUGAUCGGCCACACUGGAACUGAGACACGGUCCAGACUCCUACGGGAGGCAGCAGUAGGGAAUCUUCCGCAAUGGGCGAAAGCCUGACGGAGCAACGCCGCGUGAGUGAUGAAGGUCUUCGGAUCGUAAAACUCUGUUAUUAUGGAAGAACAUAUGUGUAAGUAACAGUGCACAUCUUGACGGUACCUAAUCAGAAAGCCACGGCUAACUACGUG